UUCGCAAUGCCCGAAAGGGUGACGAAGCGACGCCGCGUGUGGGAAGAAGGCCUUCGGGUUGUAAACCACUGUCGGGAGUUAAGAAAUGCAAGGAUAUGAAUAGUGUCUUUGCUUGACUAAGGCUCCGGAGGAAGCCACGGCUAACUCUGUGCCAGCAGCCGCGGUAAUACAGAGGCGGCAAGCGUUGUUCGGAAUUAUUGGGCGUAAAGAGCACGUAGGCGGCACAGUAAGUCGGUUGUGAAAGCCUUCCGCUCAACGGGAGAACAGCAUCCGAUACUACAUGGCUUGAGUGCGGGAGGGGAGAGUGGAACUUCUGGUGGAGCGGUGAAAUGCGUAGAUAUCAGAAGGAACGCCGGCGGCGAAAGCGGCUCUCUGGCCCAUAACUGACGCUGAGUGUGCGAAAGCUAGGGGAGCAAACGGGAACAGAUACCCCGGUAGUCCUAGCCGUAAACGAUGGGCACUAAGUAGAGGGGUAUUU
RNAcentral lists this ribosomal RNA (478 nucleotides) under uncultured Planctomycetales bacterium. RNAcentral's name for it is "bacterial SSU rRNA". It matches the Rfam family "Bacterial small subunit ribosomal RNA", at positions 365 to 833 of the family's 1533-position model. The record is from RNAcentral. Lineage: Bacteria; Pseudomonadati; Planctomycetota; Planctomycetia; Planctomycetales.